AAAAAAAAGCCAUGUUUAACCACUAUUGAAAGGUUCCCAUACGUGUCAUCCUUAUGUCAUUAUCUGUUUUCAUAGCAUCUAAAUUCAUCAGAAUGCUCAUUGCAUGAAUAGUGUUAUAUCUUGAUAAGUACACCAAUGGGAUUCUCCACAUAUUUUUCUGCCAGCUAAAUCAAUGUAGAUUUGUCUACUAUGAGUUUAAUGAUUUGAAGAAGGUUUUGCCAAAAGAGUUAAAUAAAAAACCAAACAAGGACCAAGAUCAGGAGAAUUCUCAAGGUGAAGAAACAGAUCCCAAAAUGAGUUUUAGGAGGAAAGCAAUAAGAGAGGGAAAUUCACCUGAUUUUUAAAUUUUCAGUCUCAGAAACUUCAUAAUUACAUUCUUCUGUGAAACUAAUACUUCAAAUAAACUGGAAUGUGUUAUGCCAACAAUA
Molecule: long non-coding RNA, 428 nt
Organism: Phyllostomus discolor (pale spear-nosed bat)
Lineage: Eukaryota; Metazoa; Chordata; Mammalia; Chiroptera; Phyllostomidae
Exons: 3
Source: RefSeq, a predicted model, not a curated record